CAGCCGCCGCGGGAAUACGAAGGGGGCUAGCGUUGCUCGGAAUGACUGGGCGUAAAGGGCGCGUAGGCGGUUCGUACAGUCAGAUGUGAAAUUCCUGGGCUUAACCUGGGGGCUGCAUUUGAUACGUGCGGGCUUGAGUGGGGAAGAGGGUCAUGGAAUUCCCAGUGUAGAGGUGAAAUUCGUAGAUAUUGGGAAGAACACCGGUGGCGAAGGCGGCGACCUGGUCCUUGACUGACGCUGAGGCGCGAAAGCGUGGGGAGCAAACAGGAUUAGAUACCCGCGUAGUCCCUGUCUCUUAUAA
Molecule: ribosomal RNA, 301 nt
Filed under: uncultured bacterium
Lineage: Bacteria
Description: partial 16S ribosomal RNA
Rfam family: Bacterial small subunit ribosomal RNA
Source: RNAcentral